AUGUUCAGUGGUGUGGCUCGUCUUGUUUUUGCACAGGGGCCCCGAGGUCCAGAUGGCCCACCGGGAGAACUGGGUCCUGAGGGCAUCAAGGGUGAAAAGGGGGAGAUCGGACCUAAAGGAGAGCCAGGCUUCAUAGGCAAGGCUGGAAAUUCAGGAGAGAGAGGCCCUCCUGGGAAGGCUGUGAGUAAUAUUUCUUUCUUUUUGUCUCUUAAAGCUUUAGAUUUUUUUUGAGAAGCAACAGUAUAUAAUACUACUUUAAAGCUAUCAUAAAGAAUCUUUUUAUUGCACUAACAAUCCACACUCUGCGCUCUUCAUCAGCUUGUGUUGAUGUGCUCCUUGUUGUUCGUCUGGCGUGGGUGCAGGGUUUCGCAUGUUGCACAGUACUAAAAUUAUUAUGACUCAGUUGCUAACACAAUUUCCUUCUUUUAUAUUUAAGAAAUAAGGAGUAAAUCUUCACUACUUUAAGCCCGUUUACAGUGUUCAAAGUCCAAAUAAGACAUUCAUCCAGACCUGUUUCAUUUCAUUUAAUCACAGCCAUCCAUUUUCUUCACUGUUUAUCCACUUCGUGUUUGCAGAUUGGAUAAGGGUUUAUUAAGAGAAAUGGAAUGCACUUUUCUACUCUGUUUCAUCACUCAAAGCACUUUGUAUUACAUUGCUCAAUCACCCAU
This 668-nucleotide long non-coding RNA is filed under the name Oreochromis niloticus (Nile tilapia). RNAcentral describes it as "lncRNA (ENSONIG00000027447.1)". Lineage: Eukaryota; Metazoa; Chordata; Actinopteri; Cichliformes; Cichlidae. The record is from RNAcentral.